UAGAAAAUGUCGACUGGGCUAUGC
This 24-nucleotide non-coding RNA is filed under the name Cricetulus griseus (Chinese hamster). Lineage: Eukaryota; Metazoa; Chordata; Mammalia; Rodentia; Cricetidae. The record is from RNAcentral.